This is a long non-coding RNA of Arabidopsis lyrata subsp. lyrata, 533 nucleotides long. RefSeq lists it as uncharacterized. NCBI's taxonomy places the organism in Eukaryota, Viridiplantae, Streptophyta, Magnoliopsida, Brassicales, Brassicaceae. The record is from RefSeq and is a predicted model, not a curated record. The transcript is spliced from 2 exons.
UAACGGUUAUUUCAAAACAACAUUGGGCUUCGUAAAUCGUGAUUCGUGACAAUCAACGACGGAGAUUCGUUUCCGAUCACGGUGGUGGAGGAGUGCUUUGCCGUGAGACUAGAGAUGGUGACGUGUGUGCUCGGGAGUCAGGCCUAGGCUGCAAUUCUUCAAAGCCCAAUAAUAUCAAUUCCAGCCCAUUAUUAGUCAGGAAGGAAAGAAAAGAAAGGAAGAGAGAAGAAAAGAAAAGUAAAGUUAGAAGAAGAAAAAAUUCUACCAUGUAUUUUUUUUUUUUGUCAUAUUCUACCAUGUAUUUGUGGUAUGAAAUUUGUUACUUGUUUUUUGUAAAAGUGGAGGAAAUGAGAAGAAAAGAUAUUAUUUUGCUGGAAGAAAAAAUCUUUUUGACCAGUGAAAUAAUUGAAGAACUGAGAAUAUUUUGUUUUCUUCUCACUUCUUUUCUUCUAUAUAUGAUAACCAGUCAUACCCUAUGUUUGGCGUAUUCGAUAUUUUAUAUCUGAUUAAUGAAGUUUAGAUUUUCCUCUUUA